AUCCACCUGUUUUUUUGUUCAAAUAAUUAUUCGAAAUUUACUGAAGAAUUUCUUGAAAAACCAUAAUUAUUAUAAACUAUAUAAUUAAGGUAAACACACAGAUUAAAAACCAAUUCUAUAUUUUUUAAAUGCAAAGGUGAAAAAAAUGACAGUAAUCCUCAAGUUUGUCUAUAUUGCGAUCUUUUUUGUUUCUCUAAUUUUUGGUGUAGUCAGCGGUAAAAAAAAAUGUGCUUCUGAAUCCGAUUGUUAUACGAUGUUUCCAGUUCCCCAUUUUAUAGUUAUGACGUGCAUCGAAAAGAAAUGUCAUAUUACUGGGAUUUAUUACUAAUUAAUUAAUUAAGACGGCGUGCAAGACUAGUUUGCUUUGCUUUGGUGAGUAGCUUGAGGAUAGCUUGGAUGCUACCUUGUUUUACUGCUUUUGGUGUCUUAGACUUUAGGGCUCUGAUUAGGGGUCGGUCUUUGAUGUUAUCUUUAUUAUACUGUUGAGAAUUUUGAGACUAUGUACUGAUGAUGAUACGUAAUUUCGAGACAUGGUUAUUUGGAGACGUAAUUUAUUAUGGAUGACUGUUGAGAUGAUUUAUUUAAAUGUCGAUGUAAUGAUGUUUUUGUUCCACUGCGAUGUUUGAAGAAAUUAUUAUGCAUGCUUGGUGAUUUAUUGAA
Molecule: long non-coding RNA, 660 nt
Organism: Medicago truncatula (barrel medic)
Lineage: Eukaryota; Viridiplantae; Streptophyta; Magnoliopsida; Fabales; Fabaceae
Exons: 3
Source: RefSeq, a predicted model, not a curated record